Molecule: ribosomal RNA, 43 nt
Filed under: Ophiocordyceps sinensis
Lineage: Eukaryota; Fungi; Ascomycota; Sordariomycetes; Hypocreales; Ophiocordycipitaceae
Description: partial 28S ribosomal RNA
Source: RNAcentral
GACCUCGGAUCAGGUAGGGAUACCCGCUGACUUAAGCAUAUCA